AGUCUUGUAGUCAAAAAAUGAUACCAAAUUGCAAGUUUGGUGGUGGGGUAUUCCUAAGGCUU
This 62-nucleotide transfer RNA is filed under the name Dorcus hirticornis. RNAcentral's name for it is "tRNA-Cys". Lineage: Eukaryota; Metazoa; Arthropoda; Insecta; Coleoptera; Lucanidae. The record is from RNAcentral.